UACAGUUUAAAUGUAAUACUUUGAAAUAAACUGUACAAACUUAACCGUAUUUCUCUCAAGAAAGUCAUAGAAAGUAUAUUGGAAACUUUUGUUGGAUUAUUUUAAGUAUUAAUAAUAAUUUAGGUCAAGCUUACCAAAGACAAGAGAGCACGUGUGAGAAAAGGUUUUAUGGUAUCAAAGCAAGCCAGUGUCAGGACAGUGGCAAAUGGAAUUCUGAAAUCUUUGCCUACCCCUCUGAAAGACAACCACAAGAUGGACCGACGAUCUGGUCAAGAUCGCCGGAAUACUUUGGAUGAGGGCAGCGCAGGACCGAUCGUCGUGGAAAUCUUUGGGGGAGGCCUUUGUCCAGCAACCAGACAAUGAUAUAUUUAAUAAAAUUAACUUAAACGUACAUAUAAACAUCCAAACGUA
Long non-coding RNA from Leptidea sinapis, 411 nucleotides. RefSeq lists it as uncharacterized. The record is from RefSeq and is a predicted model, not a curated record. The transcript has 2 exons. Lineage: Eukaryota; Metazoa; Arthropoda; Insecta; Lepidoptera; Pieridae.